UACGAAGGGGGCUAGCGUUGUUCGGAAUUACUGGGCGUAAAGCGCACGUAGGCGGAUGUUUAAGUCGGGGGUGAAAUCCCAAGGCUCAACCUUGGAACUGCCUUUGAUACUGGGGAUCUCGAGUCCGGAAGAGGUGAGUGGAACUGCGAGUGUAGAGGUGAAAUUCGUAGAUAUUCGCAAGAACACCAGUGGCGAAGGCGGCUCACUGGUCCGGUACUGACGCUGAGGUGCGACAGCGUGGGGAGCGAACUGG
This 253-nucleotide ribosomal RNA is filed under the name uncultured bacterium. RNAcentral describes it as "partial 16S ribosomal RNA". It matches the Rfam family "Bacterial small subunit ribosomal RNA", at positions 524 to 776 of the family's 1533-position model. The record is from RNAcentral.